GCAGUCGAGCGGUACAGAUCCAGCUUGCUGGAUGCUGACGAGCGGCGGACGGGUGAGUAAUGCAUAGGAAUCUGCCCGAUAGUGGGGGAUAACCUGGGGAAACCCAGGCUAAUACCGCAUACGUCCUACGGGAGAAAGGGGGCUCCGGCUCCCGCUAUGGGAUGAGCCUAUGUCGGAUUAGCUAGUUGGUGAGGUAACGGCUCACCAAGGCCACGAUCCGUAGCUGGUCUGAGAGGAUGAUCAGCCACAUCGGGACUGAGACACGGCCCGAACUCCUACGGGAGGCAGCAGUGGGGAAUAUUGGACAAUGGGGGAAACCCUGAUCCAGCCAUGCCGCGUGUGUGAAGAAGGCCCUCGGGUUGUAAAGCACUUUCAGCGAGGAAGAACGCCUAGCGGUUAAUACCCGCUAGGAAAGACAUCACUCGCAGAAGAAGCACCGGCUAACUCCGUGCCAGCAGCCGCGGUAAUACGGAGGGUGCAAGCGUUAAUCGGAAUUACUGGGCGUAAAGCGCGCGUAGGUGGCUUGAUAAGCCGGUUGUGAAAGCCCCGGGCUCAACCUGGGAACGGCAUCCGGAACUGUCAAGCUAGAGUGCAGGAGAGGAAGGUAGAAUUCCCGGUGUAGCGGUGAAAUGCGUAGAGAUCGGGAGGAAUACCAGUGGCGAAGGCGGCCUUCUGGACUGACACUGACACUGAGGUGCGAAAGCGUGGGUAGCAAACAGGAUUAGAUACCCUGGUAGUCCACGCCGUAAACGAUGUCGACCAGCCGUUGGGUGCCUAGCGCACUUUGUUGGCGAAGUUAACGCGAUAAGUCGACCGCCUGGGGGAGUACGGCCGCAAGGUUAAAACUCAAAUGAAUUGACGGGGGCCCGCACAAGCGGUGGAGCAUGGUGGUUUAAUUCGAUGCAACGCGAAGAACCUUACCUACUCUUGACAUCCUGCGAAUUUGGUAGAGAUACCUUAGUGCCUUCGGGAACGCAGAGACAGGUGCUGCAUGGCUGUCGUCAGCUCGUGUUGUGAAAUGGUUGGGUUAAGUCCCGUAACGAGCGCAACCCUUGUCCUUAUUUGCCAGCGCGUAAUGGCGGGA
RNAcentral lists this ribosomal RNA (1084 nucleotides) under uncultured bacterium. RNAcentral's name for it is "bacterial SSU rRNA". It matches the Rfam family "Bacterial small subunit ribosomal RNA", at positions 57 to 1136 of the family's 1533-position model. The record is from RNAcentral.